This 468-nucleotide ribosomal RNA is filed under the name uncultured bacterium. RNAcentral describes it as "partial 16S ribosomal RNA". It matches the Rfam family "Bacterial small subunit ribosomal RNA", at positions 28 to 523 of the family's 1533-position model. The record is from RNAcentral.
GAUGAACGCUGGCGGCGUGCCUAACACAUGCAAGUCGAGCGAUCUUCUUCGGAGGAGAGCGGCGGACGGGUGAGUAACGCGUGGGUAACCUGCCUCAUACACAUGGAUAACAUACCGAAAGGUAUGCUAAUACAAGAUGAUAUAAGAGAUUCGCAUGGAUUUCUUAUCAAAGCUCCGGCGGUAUGAGAUGGACCCGCGUCUGAUUAGCUAGUUGGUAAGGUAACGGCUUACCAAGGCGACGAUCAGUAGCCGACCUGAGAGGGUGAUCGGCCACAUUGGAACUGAGACACGGUCCAAACUCCUACGGGAGGCAGCAGUGGGGAAUAUUGCACGAUGGGCGAAAGCCUGAUGCAGCAACGCCGCGUGAGCGAUGAAGGCCUUCGGGUCGUAAAGCUCUGUCCUCAAGGAAGAUAAUGACGGUACUUGAGGAGGAAGCCCCGGCUAACUACGUGCCAGCAGCCGCCGUAA